This 472-nucleotide ribosomal RNA is filed under the name Pedobacter sp. RNAcentral's name for it is "bacterial SSU rRNA". It matches the Rfam family "Bacterial small subunit ribosomal RNA", at positions 391 to 863 of the family's 1533-position model. Lineage: Bacteria; Pseudomonadati; Bacteroidota; Sphingobacteriia; Sphingobacteriales; Sphingobacteriaceae. The record is from RNAcentral.
GCCAUGCCGCGUGCAGGAAGACAGCCCUCUGGGUCGUAAACUGCUUUUAUUCGGGAAUAAACCUACUUACGUGUAAGUAGCUGAAUGUACCGAAGGAAUAAGGAUCGGCUAACUCCGUGCCAGCAGCCGCGGUAAUACGGAGGAUCCAAGCGUUAUCCGGAUUUAUUGGGUUUAAAGGGUGCGUAGGCGGCUUAUUAAGUCAGGGGUGAAAGACGGUGGCUCAACCAUCGCAGUGCCCUUGAUACUGAUGAGCUUGAAUGAACUAGAGGUAGGCGGAAUGUGACAAGUAGCGGUGAAAUGCAUAGAUAUGUCACAGAACACCGAUUGCGAAGGCAGCUUACUAUGGUUUUAUUGACGCUGAGGCACGAAAGCGUGGGGAUCAAACAGGAUUAGAUACCCUGGUAGUCCACGCCCUAAACGAUGAAUACUCGCUGUUAGCGAUAUACAGUUAGCGGCUAAGCGAAAGCGUUAA